This 433-nucleotide ribosomal RNA is filed under the name uncultured bacterium. RNAcentral's name for it is "partial 16S ribosomal RNA". It matches the Rfam family "Bacterial small subunit ribosomal RNA", at positions 29 to 507 of the family's 1533-position model. The record is from RNAcentral.
AGCGAACGCUGGCGGCAGGCCUAACACAUGCAAGUCGAACGAACUCUUCGGAGUUAGUGGCGGACGGGUGAGUAACACGUGGGAACGUGCCUUUUGGUUCGGAAUAACUCAGGGAAACUUGUGCUAAUACCGAAUGUGCCCUUCGGGGGAGAGAUUUAUCGCCAUUAGAGCGGCCCGCGUCUGAUUAGCUAGUUGGUGAGGUAACGGCUCACCAAGGCGACGAUCAGUAGCUGGUCUGAGAGGAUGACCAGCCACACUGGGACUGAGACACGGCCCAGACUCCUACGGGAGGCAGCAGUGGGGAAUCUUGCGCAAUGGGCGAAAGCCUGACGCAGCCAUGCCGCGUGAAUGAUGAAGGUCUUAGGAUUGUAAAAUUCUUUCACCGGGGACGAUAAUGACGGUACCCGGAGAAGAAGCCCCGGCUAACUUCGUG